CUGUUGCUCAAUAUUCUAGCUCCUCUGACAGUAGUUCCUGUUGCAAGGCAUAUCACAGAAACACACCCUGACAGCCGAGCCCCAGACACCCCCACCCCCGCGAGAAUCCAAAUCUCGCGAUAUGAGAGGAUCGUCUGGUUUGCUGCUCUAAGAUGGCGAAGACAUGUAGGAGUCACUGUCUCAGGCUCGUGAAGAGGAUACAGCAAUGUUUUUCUGAGGAUGGUGUGACCAAAUUGGCUGAGCUUUGCCUCGGUGUUAUGAUCGUGGACUGUGGUGCUGGGGGCUGUGAGCUGAGGUAGUAGUUUGUAUAGUUUGGGAUCACACCAGAUCUAGGAGAUAACUAUACAGUCUACUGUCUUUCUCACGGCUCCUGCGUCGCAUCAUGCCCUCCAUCAUGGAAGUAGAGAAAAUGUAAAUGGAGCGCUCCAAGUGAAACGUACAGCAUGGGACAUGUUCGGAUGUGGCUUGGGUGUGCUGAGGUAGUAAGUUGUGUUGUUGUGGGGGAUGGUAUUAUUUGCCCUUUUUUUUUUUUGGAGAUAACCAUACAUCUUACUGCCUUCCAUGCCAGAGUCCUGAACCACAGCAAUUAGUAUAAAUAAUUCCAUCCUGAACAAUUGAUGUAUUUUAUUAUAUGCAUUGCCUAUGAAUAUUUUAUCUGUUGUCUGUUCUUCAGGAAGUACAUUCAAUAAACUGAGCACAUUUUAUGAA
Long non-coding RNA from Ictalurus punctatus (channel catfish), 708 nucleotides. The record is from Ensembl. NCBI's taxonomy places the organism in Eukaryota, Metazoa, Chordata, Actinopteri, Siluriformes, Ictaluridae.